AGCUGGCAGAGUAAAGUCAACGUAAGAACGAUUGGGUUACAGCAAUACAGGAUCACGACGUUGAUUUACAGUGCAGUGGUGCUCUGAGUACUGAGGGCCAUCACUGACUGGCACUCAAGACGCGGAAUGCAUUCUGCCUUUGAGCGUUACUGAGGAGAGACACAAAGGACUACAGCCUAUGGCACAAGACUCCUAAGCCCAGGUCUCAGCUCCCCAGAUGGGCUCUACAGAACCUACUAAAGGACAUAACAUGUAGCCUGGUGAUUAGUAUUGGAUGCCUAUAUAUGUGUGCGUGUGAGUGCAUGCAUGUGUAUCUGUGUGAGGAGCUGGGAAUACAGCCCAGCAGUAAAAAACAUUUGGCCAGUGUGAGUAUAAUUAAGUUCAGUUUAGCAACAAACAAAUUAAAAAGGCAUAAGUACUAU
RNAcentral lists this long non-coding RNA (422 nucleotides) under Rattus norvegicus (Norway rat). Its description in RNAcentral is "long non-coding RNA NONRATT025322". Lineage: Eukaryota; Metazoa; Chordata; Mammalia; Rodentia; Muridae. The record is from RNAcentral.